CUGCAGGUUAGUUUCAGCAUGGUUGAUCAGUGCCAUGUUGUCGUUCCCCCUGCAGAAAUUAAAAUUGUUUCAUUACUAUCCCUGUAUGCUUUGACCCAACAGCAGAUGGGGACGCUUAGUCACAGACAA
Protopterus annectens (West African lungfish) is the source of this 129-nucleotide small nucleolar RNA. RefSeq annotates it as small nucleolar RNA SNORA63. The record is from RefSeq and is a predicted model, not a curated record. NCBI's taxonomy places the organism in Eukaryota, Metazoa, Chordata, Ceratodontiformes, Protopteridae. The transcript has a single exon.